GUUUUUAUGAUCAUUUCAAAAGCU
This 24-nucleotide small nuclear RNA is filed under the name Arabidopsis thaliana (thale cress). RNAcentral's name for it is "snRNA_06376". The record is from RNAcentral. Lineage: Eukaryota; Viridiplantae; Streptophyta; Magnoliopsida; Brassicales; Brassicaceae.